CUUUCCAAACAUGGCGGCGUCCUGCAUUUCGUGUGUGCGUCGUAGUGUCGAGUUUUGUUCAUGCGGUCGACCUUUACUGCGUUACCUCGCAUUGUGUGUUGUGUGUUGCGGUUACUGACGUAAGCGCAAGUUCUUCACUGAGUAUGAUCCGCGGCACCGUGCAAAUAGUCACCAGAUGCCGGCCGUGCGACUCCGUUCUCUGCGACUCCUUUGUUCGGUGUGAUCGAGGGACGUGAUUCUUAGCUUUGGAGACCCUCUUUACACCGUGCCCUCUUCAAACGUUUCCACACAUCAGUGAGUAGCAGCACCGCAAUCUUUACUCGACGGCACGCUCCGUGGGCCUAGAAAAUGCCUUGACGGUCGAGCACUUCGGGAGCUAUACCGGCGGACAGCCGGAUGCGGGUAGCUUGGACGUUCCUUGCUCUGCGCAUCGCUUGAAAACCGGCGGUCAUCCUGCAGUGCACGCUUCCAGCGUGCUUUCUUGCCAGAGCCACCUCCCCUGCUGGUGAUGACCAUAUGCAGCCAAUGCUGAUGUGAACCCGAGUGAUUAACAAAUGCAGAUCUGCAAAGGAGCUGUCCUGAGGCACCAUGCUUACUCAAGUCAUGCAGCGAGAGUCAGCAUGCCUGGAAAAGUACUUCAAAGCACACCCCAUCUGGCUGACUGCACCACCUCAAGAAAACUGCCUUUCUCCCAUCUGCAAGUUCCUAAGAAGUUACUUUAUGAAGCAAGCCAGCAGGGCGUGCGUGUUAGGCAUGGCAGCAUGGAGAACAAAUAAACAUAAGUAUUUGGUGCAAGAUGCAUUCAUUGAUUCCGUGCUGCAUCAACAUGUGGCUACAUGCUUGGCCACGUGUAGACACAGCAAGUAAACUCGUUAACCUCAAUGGUAAAAGGUUGUCUAUAAUCACGUUGAGAAGCGCGAUGUCUUAUUUUUGUAAGUAAUUGCAUAGCUCGACUUUGACUCAGGCGUCCAACACCCAUCGUUAUCUACCCAUUAUCUGCCCAUCACCCAGCAUGCACCCAGUAUGUCCAU
Rhipicephalus sanguineus (brown dog tick) is the source of this 1031-nucleotide long non-coding RNA. RefSeq lists it as uncharacterized. The transcript is spliced from 4 exons. The record is from RefSeq and is a predicted model, not a curated record. Lineage: Eukaryota; Metazoa; Arthropoda; Arachnida; Ixodida; Ixodidae.